RNAcentral lists this ribosomal RNA (743 nucleotides) under uncultured soil bacterium. RNAcentral describes it as "bacterial SSU rRNA". It matches the Rfam family "Bacterial small subunit ribosomal RNA", at positions 37 to 758 of the family's 1533-position model. The record is from RNAcentral.
UGGCGGCGUGCCUAACACAUGCAAGUCGAACGCGAAAGUCCCGCAAGGGAUGAGUAGAGUGGCAAACGGGUGAGUAACACGUGGGUGACCUGCCUUCGAGUGGGGGAUAACGUCCCGAAAGGGACGCUAAUACCGCAUGACAUCCUGCUUUUUAAGAGGCGGAGAUCAAAGCUGGGGAUCGCAAGACCUGGCGCUUGAAGAGGGGCCCGCGCCUGAUUAGCUAGUUGGUGGGGUAACGGCUCACCAAGGCAUCGAUCAGUAUCCGGCCUGAGAGGGCGGACGGACACACUGGGACUGGGACACGGCCCAGACUCCUACGGGAGGCAGCAGUGGGGAAUUGUUCGCAAUGGGCGCAAGCCUGACGACGCAACGCCGCGUGGAGGAUGAAGACCUUCGGGUCGUAAACUCCUUUCGAUCGAGACGUAUGGUUUCCGGGUGAACAAUCCGGGAAAAUGACGGUACCGAGAGAAGAAGCCCCGGCUAACUCCGUGCCAGCAGCCGCGGUAAUACGGGGGGGGCAAGCGUUGUUCGGAAUUACUGGGCGUAAAGGGCUCGUAGGCUGCCAACUAAGUCAGACGUGAAAUCCCUCGGCUUAACCGGGGAACUGCUUCUGAUACUGGAUGGCUUGAGUUUGGGAGAGGGAUGCGGAAUUCCAGGUGUAGCGGUGAAAUGCGUAGAUAUCUGGAGGAACACCGGUGGCGAAGGCGGCAUCCUGGACCAACACUGACGCUGAGUGAGCGAAA